RNAcentral lists this ribosomal RNA (440 nucleotides) under uncultured bacterium. Its description in RNAcentral is "partial 16S ribosomal RNA". It matches the Rfam family "Bacterial small subunit ribosomal RNA", at positions 338 to 795 of the family's 1533-position model. The record is from RNAcentral.
CCUACGGGAGGCAGCAGUAGGGAAUAUUGCUCAAUGGGGGAAACCCUGAAGCAGCAACGCCGCGUGGAGGAUGAAGGUUUUAGGAUUGUAAACUCCUUUUGUGAGAGAAGAUAAUGACGGUAUCUCACGAAUAAGCACCGGCUAACUCCGUGCCAGCAGCCGCGGUAAUACGGAGGGUGCAAGCGUUACUCGGAUUCACUGGGCGUAAAGAGUGCGUAGGCGGGCUUGUAAGUCAGAUGUGAAAUCCUGUAGCUUAACUACAGAACUGCAUUUGAAACUAUGAGUCUAGAGUGUGGGAGAGGUAAGUGGAAUUCCUGGUGUAGGGGUGAAAUGCGUAGAUAUCAGGAGGAAUACUCGUUGCGAAGGCGACCUACUGGAACAUUACUGACGCUCAUGCACGAAAGCGUGGGGAGCAAACAGGAUUAGAUACCCGGGUAGUC